UACGGGGGGGGUAAGCGUUGUUCGGAAUUACUGGGCGUAAAGGGCUCGUAGGCGGCCUGUUAAGUCGAACGUGAAAUCCCCGGGCUCAACCCGGGAACUGCGUCCGAUACUGGCAGGCUUGAAUCCGGGAGAGGGAUGCGGAAUUCCAGGUGUAGCGGUGAAAUGCGUAGAGAUGUGGAGGAACACCAGUGGCGAAGGCGGCUUUCUGGUCUGUAACUGACGCUGAGGCGCGAAAGCGUGGGGAGCAAACAGG
Molecule: ribosomal RNA, 253 nt
Filed under: uncultured bacterium
Lineage: Bacteria
Description: partial 16S ribosomal RNA
Rfam family: Bacterial small subunit ribosomal RNA
Source: RNAcentral